GCGAGUCUGCCUUGAAAUCGGAGUGCUUGCACUCUGUGAAACAAGAUACAGGCUAGCGGCGGACGGGUGAGUAACACGUGGGUAACCUGCCCAAGAGAUCGGGAUAACACCUGGAAACAGAUGCUAAUACCGGAUAACAACAGAUGAUGCCUAUCAGCUGUUUAAAAGAUGGUUCUGCUAUCACUCUUGGAUGGACCUGCGGUGCAUUAGCUAGUUGGUAGGGUAACGGCCUACCAAGGCGAUGAUGCAUAGCCGAGUUGAGAGACUGAUCGGCCACAUUGGGACUGAGACACGGCCCAAACUCCUACGGGAGGCAGCAGUAGGGAAUCUUCCACAAUGGACGCAAGUCUGAUGGAGCAACGCCGCGUGAGUGAAGAAGGGUUUCGGCUCGUAAAGCUCUGUUGUUGGUGAAGAAGGACAGGGGUAGUAACUGACCUUUGUUUGACGGUAAUCAAUUAGAAAGUCACGGCUAACUACGUGCCAGCAGCCGCGGUAAUACGUAGGUGGCAAGCGUUGUCCGGAUUUAUUGGGCGUAAAGCGAGUGCAGGCGGCUCGAUAAGUCUGAUGUGAAAGCCUUCGGCUCAACCGGAGAAUUGCAUCAGAAACUGUCGAGCUUGAGUACAGAAGAGGAGAGUGGAACUCCAUGUGUAGCGGUGAAAUGCGUAGAUAUAUGGAAGAACACCGGUGGCGAAGGCGGCUCUCUG
RNAcentral lists this ribosomal RNA (704 nucleotides) under uncultured bacterium. RNAcentral's name for it is "bacterial SSU rRNA". It matches the Rfam family "Bacterial small subunit ribosomal RNA", at positions 57 to 731 of the family's 1533-position model. The record is from RNAcentral.